GCAGCCGUGGCCUACUGGUUAGGGCUUCAGACUUGGAACCAGAGGGUUGCCGGUUCAAACCCUGACCUGUGGGA
This 74-nucleotide transfer RNA is filed under the name Alosa alosa (allis shad). RNAcentral's name for it is "tRNA-OTHER". The record is from RNAcentral. Lineage: Eukaryota; Metazoa; Chordata; Actinopteri; Clupeiformes; Clupeidae.